Gossypium hirsutum (cotton) is the source of this 145-nucleotide non-coding RNA. The record is from Rfam. Lineage: Eukaryota; Viridiplantae; Streptophyta; Magnoliopsida; Malvales; Malvaceae.
UGUUAAAAAUUUCAUCUAUUUAUACUGUUAAAAACUAGUGUAACUGAUAGGAUAACUAGACGGCUACACAUGGUGUGCCACGUGUACAUGAUGUUGACAUACAUAGACCGAUUUUUAACAAUCUAAAUGGAUAAAAUUUUUAACA